This 77-nucleotide transfer RNA is filed under the name Fusobacterium sp. RNAcentral describes it as "tRNA-Ile". It matches the Rfam family "tRNA". From Rfam's summary of the family: Transfer RNA (tRNA) molecules are approximately 80 nucleotides in length. Their secondary structure includes four short double-helical elements and three loops (D, anti-codon, and T loops). Further hydrogen bonds mediate the characteristic L-shaped molecular structure. tRNAs have two regions of fundamental functional importance: the anti-codon, which is responsible for specific mRNA codon recognition, and the 3' end, to which the tRNAs corresponding amino acid is attached (by aminoacyl-tRNA synthetases). tRNAs cope with the degeneracy of the genetic code in two manners: having more than one tRNA (with a specific anti-codon) for a particular amino acid; and 'wobble' base-pairing, i.e. permitting non-standard base-pairing at the 3rd anti-codon position. Lineage: Bacteria; Fusobacteriati; Fusobacteriota; Fusobacteriia; Fusobacteriales; Fusobacteriaceae. The record is from RNAcentral. RNAcentral also lists the same sequence under 1 other name.
GGAUCUAUAGCUCAGCUGGUUAGAGCACUCGGCUCAUAACCGAGUGGUCAUUGGUUCGAAUCCAAUUAGAUCCACCA